RNAcentral lists this ribosomal RNA (386 nucleotides) under uncultured archaeon. RNAcentral describes it as "bacterial SSU rRNA". It matches the Rfam family "Archaeal small subunit ribosomal RNA", at positions 458 to 844 of the family's 1478-position model. The record is from RNAcentral.
UCAGCCGCCGCGGUAAUACCAGCACCUCGAGUGGUCAGGACGUUUAUUGGGCCUAAAGCAUCCGUAGCCGGCUUUGCAAGUCUUCGGUUAAAUCCACCUGCUCAACAGAUGGGCUGCUGGAGAUACUACAAAGCUAGGGAGGGGGAGAGGCAGACGGUAUUCAGUGGGUAGGGGUAAAAUCCUCUGAUCCAUUGAGGACCACCAGUGGCGAAGGCGGUCUGCCAGAACACGUUCGACGGUGAGGGAUGAAAGCUGGGGGAGCAAACCGGAUUAGAUACCCGGGUAGUCCCAGCUGUAAACGAUGCAAACUCGGUGAUGCAUUGGCUUAUGGCCAAUGCAGUGCCGCAGGGAAGCCGUUAAGUUUGCCGCCUGGGAAGUACGGACGC